GGGGGCGCCUGGUGGCGCAGUUGAUUGAGUGACCAACUCUCGGUUUCAGCUCAGGUCAUGAUCUCGGGGUCCUGGGAUAAAGCCCCACAUCAGACUCCGCACUCAGCAU
This is a non-coding RNA of Callorhinus ursinus (northern fur seal), 109 nucleotides long. The record is from RefSeq and is a predicted model, not a curated record. Lineage: Eukaryota; Metazoa; Chordata; Mammalia; Carnivora; Otariidae.